This 229-nucleotide ribosomal RNA is filed under the name uncultured bacterium. Its description in RNAcentral is "partial 16S ribosomal RNA". It matches the Rfam family "Bacterial small subunit ribosomal RNA", at positions 104 to 334 of the family's 1533-position model. The record is from RNAcentral.
CGGGGUGAGUAAUGUCUGGGAAACUGCCUGAUGGAGGGGGAUAACUACUGGAAACGGUAGCUAAUACCGCAUAACGUCGCAAGACCAAAGAGGGGGACCUUCGGGCCUCUUGCCAUCGGAUGUGCCCAGAUGGGAUUAGCUAGUAGGUGGGGUAACGGCUCACCUAGGCGACGAUCCCUAGCUGGUCUGAGAGGAUGACCAGCCACACUGGAACUGAGACACGAUCCAG